AUAUAUAUAUAUAUAUAUAUAUAUAUAUAUAUAUAUAUGAAUUUUCUACAUGUUAUCUUAAGAGUUUUUCCAUUGUUUUAGUAUAACAUUAUAAUACCAUUCAUAUUUACUUUUUUUGUAAAAACUUUUUAAUAUAAUUUAAAGAAACCAAUCCGAUUUAUAGUUGCCAUUUGAGGCUUAAUACUAUAGAAAAGCACUCAAAGUUUUUUAGCUUGUUUAUUUUACUAUGAAAAUAUGGUAUGCAGUUGCAUCAAACAAUGGUAUAAACAUCAAUGUAAAUUGUGAGAAUCCUAAUUAAUAAAUCACAAUUACAAUUUCAAGGCAAUAAUCUACAAUUAUGAUUUUUGUCAUAAUCAUACAGCCAUAACUACAGUCACAACAAUGACAGCUUCAGCAAACAUAUUGCUGUACCCUAAAGAUUUGCAACACAUAAAAUGUGGGCAAUUCCCAUUUAAUCUCACAAGCCUGCUUUUAAUUAAAACAAUAGUGCAUUCAAUGAUACAUUCAUUCAUUCUGUUAUUGUUUUGGUCCAGCUUAGAAUGAAUGAAUGAAUGAACUAAUUAAUUAAGCUACAUUAGCUAACACAUUGUCAUCACAAAUCAUAAACUAAUACAAAAAAAAAGUGUCUAGAAAGUGUCAACAAUCACUCUACAAUGUUUGUUUUGAUGGAGUAAACAUCACAGGGGGUGGGGACAGAAUAUGCUUGUGACCUCACUCCAUUCAUGUUUUGCCUGUAGCCAUUCAACCAAUCCCAUCCCACGUGUGUCUAAAUGUCCAGGUCAUCAAUUGCACUUCGUACGGUCCCAGGGACGUGUCGGACGGACGUCUUUUCAACGGUCAACAGACGUCCGAAUGUUUGCUGGGACGGCACGAAAUUUUUUUUUUUUUUUUUUUUUUUUUUAAUAUCAUGACAUGGCGGAGCGCAAGAAAAAAAUGCAUUCUGAAGCUGCUCACUUAGGCGAUCUGGCUCGUCUCAGUCUGCUCAAUCGUGGUGAUGUCAGUGCCCUAAAAGAUGUUAUAAUGGACUAUUUCACAUCCAGAGAUGAAGGAUUGGAUGAAGUUACUAAAGAGGAGGAGUCCGAUGACAGUCUGUUAUAUGCACAGCUGUCCUCAAGAAGAAGAAAAUCAGAAAAUGCAUGAGGGUUGGCGUCCUCGCGCUCCUGCAGUUUGCUCGCGCGCGCGUGCAAGAGCGAUUUCAAAUAGAAAGAAAGUAAGGGUUGCUUUCCUCAAAGAAACAACCGCCGCACAGGGUGAGUAAAGGCUCCAAUAUAAAUACACAGAUUUAUUAUUUGUACACUAAUUCCUAGACUGACAAGCUUAACUGUAUGUUUUUAUUUUAAAAUGUUUGUUUUAACCAUUAAUUUAAUAGCCGCGAUGCCUUUGUAAACUUUGUGUGAAUUGUGUCCUGUGUGAAUUUUCAGCAGGGGUUCAGAUAAAAAAUCGGCAGCUGGCAGCAGGAAGUGGCUGCCAUUGACAGCCGGAAGGCAGUUACUGGCAGCCGGAAGGUAGGCGGGACCUGCCACUCGGUGGCAGCCAAUCAGAAUCGACCAACGUGGAAGCAACCAAUCACAUAUAACUACAACAGCAGCCAAAUGCUUUAGUAAUGGCGGCGAUUGAUCGAGCGUUAAGUUCGGAAAUUGGUGAUCGGAGUAAUGAAUAAUUUUUGCGUUGUAAGUUUGAUUUUAAUUGUUAUCUUAGUGAACGACAGUGUAACUUUGCCUACUUUAGUUUAAUUGUUCAAUGUAAUCUAAUUAGUGGUAGAAACGUAGUUUGUGUACAAUGUUACAUCAUGUAUAAUUAAGUUGGCUUGAGAAAGCCAACUUACUGAAAUUGUAUUUAAACUUCUUCUUUUUCUUCUUCUUCUUCUUCUUCUGACCCAAAAUUUUCAACUGCUACUCCUCCUAGAGCUUUAACUCUACAGACUCCAAACUCAGCCCAGAUCCUCAGACUGAUCUGAAGUUAGUUUGCUAUAUCUUUUUAGACUGAUUGGACUUACAGUUUUCAUAAAAAUGAAGAUUAAAAAUCAUAAAAAUCCCAUAGACUUAUAUUGAAAAGCCUGAAGCCCAUUAGACUCAAUCAGACUUACCUUCUAUGUACUAUUACUAACCCAUUCAAACUCAUUCAGACUCAUCUAUCUAUC
Molecule: long non-coding RNA, 2140 nt
Organism: Cyprinus carpio (common carp)
Lineage: Eukaryota; Metazoa; Chordata; Actinopteri; Cypriniformes; Cyprinidae
Source: Ensembl